RNAcentral lists this small RNA (167 nucleotides) under uncultured Acetatifactor sp. Its description in RNAcentral is "Clostridiales-1 RNA". It matches the Rfam family "Clostridiales-1 RNA". The record is from RNAcentral. Lineage: Bacteria; Bacillati; Bacillota; Clostridia; Lachnospirales; Lachnospiraceae.
AUACCAAGGGUCGAGAGACGACGGUGCGAUGCAAGCUCGCUUGCGGGAGCAUCCGGAGAUUCGAGAGCCGUACCACAUGAGUAAGGAGCCAUUUUUCGCGGAAAAAUGAGCGGAUUACGAAUGCGGUCCAGAUUGUGAGAGUGCGAAGCACGGAACAAUCUGGAUGG